UCGCGAAAACUUUGCAAUACACGAAAGUGUGACAGGGCUAUCCCGAGUGCCAUCCGCUGAGGAAGGCUUUUACCCAGUUUAGAAAGCUGGGGGGAAUAAGGAGAGGGCAAGUCUGGUGUCAGCCGCCGCGGUAAUACCAGCUCUCCGAGUGGUGUGGAUGUUUAUUGGGCCUAAAGCAUCCGUAGCUGGCUGAGUUAGUCCCCUGUUAAAUCCACCGAAUUAAUCGUUGGAUUGCGGGGGAUACUGCUUGGCUAGGGGACGGGAGAGGCAGACGGUAUUUCCGGGGUAGGGGUGAAAUCCUAUAAUCCCGGGAGGACCACCAGUGGCGAAGGCUGUCUGCUAGAACGCGCCCGACGGUGAGGGAUGAAAGCUGGGGGAGCGAACCGGAUUAGAUACCCGGGUAGUCCCAGCUGUAAACGAUGCAGGCUAGGUGUUUGGGCGGCCACGUGCCGCUCUAGUGCCGCAGGGAGCUGUUAAGCCUGCCGCCUGGGGAGUACGAUCGCAAGAUUGAAACUUAAGGAAUUGGCGGGGG
This 532-nucleotide ribosomal RNA is filed under the name uncultured archaeon. RNAcentral's name for it is "bacterial SSU rRNA". It matches the Rfam family "Archaeal small subunit ribosomal RNA", at positions 339 to 874 of the family's 1478-position model. The record is from RNAcentral.